UGAGAGACAUUAUUUAAACAAGGAGAAAUCAGAUGGCAAAGUCGUAGAUAAACACCAAAUCCAAGGGUAAUAAUAAUCAAUACCCCUCUCUCCAGAGAAGCGUAUAGCAACCAACCCCCAAAUGAGUUGCAACAAAAAAAAAUUGCAAAUUACAAAUUGCAGAGAGAAAGAGAUCUGAGCAAAAAAAGCUUUUAUAAGGCUUUUAAUGGCGAAGUAAGCACCCUAGCCGCUAGAUCGAACCUUCCUCAGACGAUUAUUGUCAACCGUUGGCAUUUUCUCUUCCUCAUAUUCCUUUCUCCGUGUUUUUGGAUCGGGUCUGGGAGAGAGAAUCAAAGCCCCUCCGUGUUUCGUCUUCUUCGAGCCUCCCUCCUCAGGUGACUUUUCCUUUUUUUUUUCACGUUUUGUUAUGAGGUUAGAAUAUAGAUAAAAAAAAAAAAAUACAACUUUCGUUUUUGCUAUUAGAUUUGAUGAAUUAUUAUUUUUUUCCGUAAUCUAUAGGUUGUUUUUAGUCCUGAGACUCUUCUCCUCUCUUAAAGGUCAUAUCUUUACUUGAGAGAGAGCAAAGUCUCUACUAAUGGAAGGAAGUAAAGCUUGAAAGAGACAGAACCUGACUUCUUUAGAUAACACAAGUGAAGCAGCUGCCCCGCCCCACCCUAUGGAGGAUUACUCAAAGUACACACAUAGUCCUGCUCAUCUAGCCGUCGUGCUUCACGACCACGCGGCUCUUAGACGAAUCGUCAUUGACCUCCCCAGCUUAGCCAAGGCCGGCGAGGUUACCAACGAGGCUGAGUCUUUAGAAGCCGAGUCACGCGCCGA
RNAcentral lists this long non-coding RNA (816 nucleotides) under Brassica napus (rape). RNAcentral's name for it is "long non-coding RNA (BNAP_LNC001692)". The record is from RNAcentral. Lineage: Eukaryota; Viridiplantae; Streptophyta; Magnoliopsida; Brassicales; Brassicaceae.